AUCUGAAGAGCACGCUUAAAGGACUGCUCCUCAGACGUUUAAACGUUUUGAUCCAUGGUGUCGAUAUAUACAAUCACGCUUGAUUGUUCCCCAGGAACAACUGGAACAACAUCUUCAAUUUGGAUUUGGCAGUGGUUUAUUUGUCAUGGACUCCCGCCAGGCGAACUGAAUGGAGGAGGCUCUUGAUAUGCUGCUGCUGCUCUGCUCCACUGUUCAGGUGGAAAUGGUUGAAACCCAUGGUUGAAAAUGUAAAAAGCCAAGAAGAUUUGAUAAAGUCUGUACAGGGAAGGUCAAAGACAAGGAUUUAGUUAAUCUAGAUAUUGUUUUAUCUUCUUUGCCUCAAAACACCUUUAAAUGCUGACUCUACAUGCAUUCAAAAAGGUUCUGUAGAUUAAUUAAGUUGUCGUUCUUCCUAUGUUAUGUUGUCGUAUCCCGGAAGCAUGUCAUCGUAGCUACAUGGCCACAACAGAAGAACAGAUGUAUGUUCACAAGUGAAGCUCUGCUCCUAGUACUCAGCGACUGGAACAAUGGAGCAAAA
This 538-nucleotide long non-coding RNA is filed under the name Gadus morhua (Atlantic cod). RNAcentral's name for it is "lncRNA (ENSGMOG00000026990.1)". The record is from RNAcentral. Lineage: Eukaryota; Metazoa; Chordata; Actinopteri; Gadiformes; Gadidae.